This 74-nucleotide transfer RNA is filed under the name Rhodospirillaceae bacterium. Its description in RNAcentral is "tRNA-Arg". It matches the Rfam family "tRNA". From Rfam's summary of the family: Transfer RNA (tRNA) molecules are approximately 80 nucleotides in length. Their secondary structure includes four short double-helical elements and three loops (D, anti-codon, and T loops). RNAcentral also lists the same sequence under 1 other name. Lineage: Bacteria; Pseudomonadati; Pseudomonadota; Alphaproteobacteria; Rhodospirillales; Rhodospirillaceae. The record is from RNAcentral.
GCGCCUGUAGCUCAGUGGAUUAGAGCAUCUGACUACGGAUCAGAAGGCCAGGGGUUCGAAUCCUCUCAGGCGCU